CAGUCGCCACGGUAAUACGAGGGGCGCAAGCGUUGUUCGGAAUUAUUGGGCGUAAAGGGUGCGUAGGCGGUUUGGCAAGUUUGGUGUGAAAUCUUCGGGCUCAACUCGAAGUCUGCAUCGAAAACUGCCGGGCUUGAGUAUGGGAGAGGUGAGUGGAAUUCCUGGUGUAGCGGUGGAAUGCGCAGAUAUCAGGAGGAACACCUAUGGCGAAGGCAGCUCGCUGGAACGUUACUAACGCUGAGACGCGAAAGCGUGGGGAGCAAACAGGAUUAGAUACCCGUGUAGUCCCUGUCUCUUAUAA
RNAcentral lists this ribosomal RNA (301 nucleotides) under uncultured bacterium. RNAcentral describes it as "partial 16S ribosomal RNA". It matches the Rfam family "Bacterial small subunit ribosomal RNA", at positions 509 to 809 of the family's 1533-position model. The record is from RNAcentral.